Molecule: long non-coding RNA, 634 nt
Organism: Panicum virgatum (switchgrass)
Lineage: Eukaryota; Viridiplantae; Streptophyta; Magnoliopsida; Poales; Poaceae
Exons: 2
Source: RefSeq, a predicted model, not a curated record
AUCCAAAGUUGGUGGGAUUUCCGGAUAGCUUCAAAUCCGCUGCGUCCUCUCUCGAAUAUGUUGGCAUUAAUGAUUGCAAAGGAUUGGAGAAGCUGCCAAGUUUCAUCCAAGAUUUCACCUCUCUUAAGAAAAUUGUGAUUCGUGAUUGCCCAGCACUGAGCAUGAGAUGCGCAGUGGGUUCUGGUGAGGAUUACCAUCUCACCCGUCAUGUCCCUGUCGUAAAACAUUAUCAAGGGAAAACUCUCAUACAGCAUUGAUGGCGGAUUCUCGCCUAAAGAAAAGAAAUCAACUGCAUGUGACUUCAGUUUGGAGCUUUGGCAAGCGCAUCGAUCUGGAGUGGUGAUUGGAGAAACGAAGUCACAGAUUACCUACUCCGCGAGCUCUCAGCCGAGCAUAUAUAUAAACUCCAUCCCUCCCUGGCUCCCUGCCGAAUCAUCAUCUAUGGCAACAUUCGUGGCCAUCAUCCAUUGUUCAUUCUGUUUUCUGGUCCAUGUGUGCUCUGCUCUUUAAUUUCCGGACAUUACUCCACUAUUUAUAUGUCUGAUGCUGUGGCUUUUGCUUCCGUGUGUAAUACUGGUAACUUAUUUUUUGCUACUCGGCAAUAUAAUAAGCUGGAUAUGAUUGUCGUGCUUGA